GCCCAUCUUCCUUUAUAGCCUGUAGCCCAGUGGUUAAAGUACUCACCCGAUGUAUGAGAGGCCCCCAGUUCUGCCUGACAAAAAAGGACUGGAACAGGGAUCUGCCAACUCUUAGUUCCCAGAGAAUCACUUGGCUGUUGUGCAAGCCAGAGCCAGGAGAGAUUCCACAGCUGCAGAACCCCACUGAUAUUUAGUGGCAAGCAAAGAACUGCAUUUUUUUUUCCCAGAGCUCAGCUGUGUGAAAUACACUGAAUGCAAAAUCAUGGAUGAUUCAAGACAAGACUAUGGGAGAGUGAAGUUCUUCUGCAAGAUUACAUCCAUUGCUAUAUUAAGUGGCACAAAAUCUCCUAGUCAUUCUAGCCUUUGAAAAUGAGGAUCUAAACUGAGUGAUUGUGCUCAUAUUCUUUAUUUGAGUGGGUGGCUGCCACUCAGAACCUAUCUUCAUUGAUACCAAAUGACUGUGACCGUAAGAAAUGACGGGGGGGGGAAAGAGCAUACAAAAGAACCCUACAAGUGUGUAUUUAAAACAGAAAAAGGUAGCGUGUGUGAUGCAGUAUGAAGCAUUGUGUACAGUUAAUCAUUUUCCUUCAUACAUUUGUUCUGUUAGAUGUAAUAGCUUACUUGUAAUCUAAAAAUUAGCCAAUUAAGAAUGUGGUUUUCUCAUUCUUUUAAUUUUAG
Long non-coding RNA from Mauremys mutica (yellowpond turtle), 678 nucleotides. RefSeq lists it as uncharacterized. Lineage: Eukaryota; Metazoa; Chordata; Testudines; Geoemydidae. The transcript has 3 exons. The record is from RefSeq and is a predicted model, not a curated record.